This 604-nucleotide ribosomal RNA is filed under the name Alternaria malorum. RNAcentral describes it as "eukaryotic LSU rRNA". It matches the Rfam family "Eukaryotic large subunit ribosomal RNA", at positions 1 to 607 of the family's 3401-position model. The record is from RNAcentral. Lineage: Eukaryota; Fungi; Ascomycota; Dothideomycetes; Pleosporales; Pleosporaceae.
UUGACCUCGGAUCAGGUAGGGAUACCCGCUGAACUUAAGCAUAUCAAUAAGCGGAGGAAAAGAAACCAACAGGGAUUGCCCUAGUAACGGCGAGUGAAGCGGCAACAGCUCAAAUUUGAAAUCUGGCUCUUUUAGAGUCCGAGUUGUAAUUUGCAGAGGGCGCUUUGGCUUUGGCAGCGGUCCAAGUUCCUUGGAACAGGACGUCACAGAGGGUGAGAAUCCCGUACGUGGUCGCUGGCUAUUGCCGUGUAAAGCCCCUUCGACGAGUCGAGUUGUUUGGGAAUGCAGCUCUAAAUGGGAGGUACAUUUCUUCUAAAGCUAAAUAUUGGCCAGAGACCGAUAGCGCACAAGUAGAGUGAUCGAAAGAUGAAAAGCACUUUGGAAAGAGAGUCAAACAGCACGUGAAAUUGUUGAAAGGGAAGCGCUUGCAGCCAGACUUGCUUGCAGUUGCUCAUCCGGGCUUUUGCCCGGUGCACUCUUCUGCAGGCAGGCCAGCAUCAGUUUGGGCGGUAGGAUAAAGGUCUCUGUCACGUACCUCUCUUCGGGGAGGCCUUAUAGGGGAGACGACAUACUACCAGCCUGGACUGAGGUCCGCGCAUCUGCU